AUCUUGAUAGACAUUUUUUUACACGCAAGCUAAUAGUCUGGUUUACAUUUAUUUUCAGAAUAUUUAGUGAAUACAGUAUGACUCAAUAGUAUGGUUAUGUUUGUAUUCAUUAAAUUAUAUUGUGUUUCUGACUGCUGUCAUAAAGGUGAAUCACAGCCUUUUUUUUUCACAUGCCAGUGCAUACAAAAGCCUAAAAACAUAUUUACACUAUCAAAAUUUGCUAUAAUAAUAAAUUUAAAAACAGGCAAACACCGGAAACCAAACUAAAAUGAUCCCUAUAACCGAUCAUUCGGAGAAAGUGAACAAAAAUAAAAAUGAAACCUUAUUUCAAACUAAUCAAUCUAUCAUAAAGCUAAUCUUAGCUCUUAAAUGGACGCUACGAUUUCUAACAAACUCCCAUCCAAAUGUCCAGCUCGCUGUUAAUCCGUUAUUCUUCCAAAACAGGUACAGCGGCUGGGCGGAUCGUAAAACCUAGAGGAGUGACCCUAUAAUAUUGAACCUUGGGAAAAAACCUCAAAAAUUGAAAUCUUACUCUGGCAGAAUACUAUGUCAAAAGAUGGGGUAGGUCAUAGCAAAGAAUAACUCACAAAAGUUGUAGCAAGUCUAAAACACGUAAAAGCUGAUCACUCGUAAAGAGAGAAUAAAAUUAAGUGUAUGAUUUGUAAUUCAGUAAAAGAAGCAAUAAAGUUAAGAACACGGGUACUUAACAAAUAGAAGCAUAGCAACAAAAGAACUGAUCGAACAUAUCGUUAACGUCGAUAAUAUCGGCUUCGGAGAGGAUUUUAUAUUUUUUGCAUCACAUCAGUGAUUUUUGGUAUAAACUAUUGGUUAAAUAUACACAAACACAUACAUUUUUAAAAGAUAUGUAUACAGCAGGUCAAACUUUCAGAGUGACACGCUGCUGAAAUUAAUGGCAAUAGUCUACUAGGAUCAUUGUCAUUAAUUAUCAAAAUAGAAAGGUAAAAUCAAGUAAAAAUUUAUACAAUCAUCGCAUAUAAUAAAGGAAUAAGCGUGUGAAGUGCAUGUUUCUGUACGUACCGGACCGGAAAUGCUGCUAUUACUAUUUUCUUCUCGCUUCGAAUUUUUAAUCGCGUCUUUUAGAACAGUGGUUCCCAACAGAU
RNAcentral lists this long non-coding RNA (1121 nucleotides) under Androctonus crassicauda. Lineage: Eukaryota; Metazoa; Arthropoda; Arachnida; Scorpiones; Buthidae. The record is from RNAcentral.